RNAcentral lists this long non-coding RNA (1311 nucleotides) under Equus caballus (horse). RNAcentral describes it as "lncRNA (ENSECAG00000041221.2)". Lineage: Eukaryota; Metazoa; Chordata; Mammalia; Perissodactyla; Equidae. The record is from RNAcentral.
AAGACAGGCUGUGGAAAAGAGUCAGCAGGGCAGGACGAGGCUCUCUUGCAAUGGUGGCAGACAUUCUUGCCAGGAACCCUUCAUGUAAACUUGGAGAUGUGUGCUUCCUACUGUGUCCCUGCUCUCAACAUGGCCAAUGGAGAAAGGGAAGAAGGGGUCAUUUUGAAGUGUUCCUGAAUUACAGUUUUAAACCCAGAAUACACUAUUGGUUGGUGUAUCUUGUGAAAGCCAGAGUGACUGUCUAAGAUGCCAGAUGGACAAGGCAGGCCAGACUUUGAAUAGACUAAUGAAGUAUGACUGCAGCCCUACGCAGGCUGUGCUGGCUGAGCCAACAGACUCAGCAGAGCCCUGGACCAUCAGAUGCUGGCCUAAGCCAUGCGGUAGCGACAACGUGACACAUCCACAGCCUGGACCAGGUGCCAGCAGAUUGCUUGUUAGUUGUGAUUUCACCAAUAACUGGUUAUGUUGCUUGGGCAAGUUUGAAGUCUCAGUCUCAUCCUUUUUAAGAAGUAGAGAUUCACUCUAGAUUCCCUCCUAACUCCAACUUUCUGCUUUUCAAUAAUUUUUUAAUUUUCGUUUGUAAGAUGUGCAAAGUUAUAAAUCUUUUGAUCCUGGCUUCACAACCUUAGCUAGAUGAUCUAGGAGUCUACUUGAGAAUAAUAUGUUCUCUCUAGGAAAGAUGUUUGUGUUACCAAACAGCCAUCAAUCAUGGUUAUAUCCUGAACAGUGUUAAUCAGACUCAAGAAUAUGCUAUUUUACUGCUAACAGAUUUCUUAAUUAAAUUACUGAAAUGGUUCAAAAGAGUUUGAAGUUUUGGGAAUAGGAUUUAAAGUACAGUCUCUUCCAUCAGUUUUUACAAUUUGAGCUACUUAUUACUUAUUUAAGGUUUUUUUUUUUUUAAAUGUGUUGUCAAAUUUCCUUAAAACAAGCAAGAACUUAAACUUUGCAUAAAGCGUGGUUUCAUUGCCUGGUCGUUCCUAGCAAAGUGGCUUUGCUCUCUCCCCUAUUGGAAUUGACCCAAUCACAUCUCCCUCCAAUUUUUUUACUUCUUGUAUUCUCACGAUUCCAGUUAUAAGACCUUCAGCAAUAAAUUUAAUAUGGAAUCAGACAAAAAUGAGUUAACAUUUUUUCAGGUUCUUCUUUGCUUCUAGAUAAUCAGGUCUUAGAUCAAUUCUUUGAGAGUUUGAAUUAAAGUGAGGAAAACAAAGUUGAAUGAGAAGGAUGCUACAUAUCAGGAGAUUUUUUCCUCAGGUUUAUUUGGGACUUUUGAAGUUUUCAUAUGUUUAUACAGUUGCUUACUGCAGUUACUUG